GAUGAACGCUGGCGGCGUGCCUAAUACAUGCAAGUCGAGCGAACGGACGAGAAGCUUGCUUCUCUGAUGUUAGCGGCGGACGGGUGAGUAACACGUGGAUAACCUACCUAUAAGACUGGGAUAACUUCGGGAAACCGGAGCUAAUACCGGAUAAUAUUUUGAACCGCAUGGUUCAAAAGUGAAAGACGGUCUUGCUGUCACUUAUAGAUGGAUCCGCGCUGCAUUAGCUAGUUGGUAAGGUAACGGCUUACCAAGGCAACGAUGCAUAGCCGACCUGAGAGGGUGAUCGGCCACACUGGAACUGAGACACGGUCCAGACUCCUACGGGAGGCAGCAGUAGGGAAUCUUCCGCAAUGGGCGAAAGUCUGACGGAGCAACGCCGCGUGAGUGAUGAAGGUCUUCGGAUCGUAAAACUCUGUUAUUAGGGAAGAACAUAUGUGUAAGUAACUGUGCACAUCUCGACGGUACCUAAUCAGAAAGCCACGGCUAACUACGUG
RNAcentral lists this ribosomal RNA (497 nucleotides) under uncultured bacterium. RNAcentral's name for it is "partial 16S ribosomal RNA". It matches the Rfam family "Bacterial small subunit ribosomal RNA", at positions 28 to 507 of the family's 1533-position model. The record is from RNAcentral.